AGGAGAGAAGAGGAUGUUGUUCACCCGAAAGUUGUGAGGAUGCAGGGUGGAGGAACCAGCGGCAUGGAUUGGUAGGUGUUGACUGAUGUCCCACAAGCGUAUGGGAUCGCAUCAGUUUUCGAGGGUAGAGUAUUCAACCCAAAUUUGUUGAUUCGCCAAGACGGGAAGCGAAAGAAUAUUCUCAAGUAUUAGCAGCUGAACGUGUAGAUUCAACCACACCUAAAAUAUUAGUG
Molecule: long non-coding RNA, 233 nt
Filed under: Hordeum vulgare
Lineage: Eukaryota; Viridiplantae; Streptophyta; Magnoliopsida; Poales; Poaceae
Description: long non-coding RNA (HVUL_LNC001829)
Source: RNAcentral